Molecule: long non-coding RNA, 1088 nt
Filed under: Mus spicilegus (steppe mouse)
Lineage: Eukaryota; Metazoa; Chordata; Mammalia; Rodentia; Muridae
Description: lncRNA (ENSMSIG00000003068.1)
Source: RNAcentral
AGGGAAUGAAAAAGAUUGAGGGAAGAAAGGAAGGAAGGAGGGAGGUGGGAGGUCAAGAGAGAAAGUAGGGUAGACAGUAUGAUGAAGAAACUAAAGGACUGAUACAUUUUUUGACCUCUAGGUGGCAUUUCUGGAGACCCUGAAGACCAUGAACAGAGUCCAGAAUCCCAUGCACUGAUUCUAAGAAAUGUGGUAUAUAUGCAGGGAUCUGAACACAUGGAAAAGGACAAAAUCAGUAUGGGCAUCAGGAGAAGGAAUGUUGUUUCUCUGUGUGAGACGGUUCAGAUGGGGGCCCAAACCCAGGGCGUGGCAGGCAUGAAGGCAGGUGGUAUGGAAUGCUUCUCCUUUUGCUAUGUCCUCAUCCGCACAUAAGAUUCCUGGGCUUCCUGACUUCUCAACAAUUGCUGUGAAUGUACGCUGCUGCCCUCUGGUGGUAGGCGGGUUGGAAGACAUGCUGCAGCAUCAACCUGGACCCAGAUGGCUGGGUGCCUGAAGACCUGAGUCAAUGGAAAGAAGUAUCAAAGGUAUUGGCAGAUUUUCUUAUCUCCUAUCAUAGUCCUGGCUACAGCUUGAAAAAUUGAAUAGAGCUGCCUGUGCUUUGCCCUAUAUCCACCCCAGAGCUAUAUUCUGGUACAUUGAAACUGUCUACUCUCCCAGGUGCCCAACUGAGGUUGUUGGUCUUCUCCCUUGUGGCACCUGCUCAUCUUCCCUUAUUCCCUAAGCUCUCAGCCACAACCAACCCUCUGCUCUACCAGCACAGGGUUAUCCUGGGAGGAUUGGGGGACAAGUAUCUUUAAACUGAAAGCAUUCUUGAGGUCUGAAUUCCAAAUGUUUGCACACCCAUGGCAGGCUUGGCAACUAUACAGCAGGUACAGCUAUACAGCAGGUACUUUAUUGUAAAUGAUUUAGUCCUAAGCCAGGUAUCUCAGCCCAGAGAACAGAAAUGAUCCAUCUGACUCAGGCUCUCAGAUAGGAAAAAGGAAACUCCACUACCAUAUACAUGAACUUUGCUAUGAUUUUUAUUAUUCUGUCCACUGUAUGUAUGCAUAAACAAUAAAGGCGGCAUCUUACUACUAGGAGAAAGGAUA